AACGACUCUCGGCAACGGAUAUCUCGGCUCUCGCAUCGAUGAAGAACGUAGCGAAAUGCGAUACUUGGUGUGAAUUGCAGAAUCCCGUGAACCAUCGAGUUUUUGAACGCAAGUUGCGCCUUAAGCCUUCGGGCCGAGGGCACGCCUGCCUGGGCGUCACG
This 161-nucleotide ribosomal RNA is filed under the name Canbya aurea. RNAcentral describes it as "5.8S ribosomal RNA". It matches the Rfam family "5.8S ribosomal RNA". From Rfam's summary of the family: 5.8S ribosomal RNA (5.8S rRNA) is a component of the large subunit of the eukaryotic ribosome. The record is from RNAcentral. Lineage: Eukaryota; Viridiplantae; Streptophyta; Magnoliopsida; Ranunculales; Papaveraceae.